RNAcentral lists this non-coding RNA (21 nucleotides) under Caenorhabditis elegans. Lineage: Eukaryota; Metazoa; Nematoda; Chromadorea; Rhabditida; Rhabditidae. The record is from RNAcentral.
UAUCUUCCUUCAACCCGUUUU